RNAcentral lists this ribosomal RNA (355 nucleotides) under uncultured bacterium. RNAcentral's name for it is "partial 16S ribosomal RNA". It matches the Rfam family "Bacterial small subunit ribosomal RNA", at positions 338 to 690 of the family's 1533-position model. The record is from RNAcentral.
CCUACGGGUGGCAGCAGUGAGGAAUAUUGGUCAAUGGGCGCGAGCCUGAACCAGCCAAGUCGCGUGAGGGAGGACGGCCCUACGGGUUGUAAACCUCUUUUGCCGGGGAGCAACGGGCGUCACGUGUGGCGCCACUGAGAGUACCCGGAGAAAAAGCAGCGGCUAACCCCGUGCCAGCAGCCGCGGUAAUACGGUGGAUGCGAGCGUUAGCGGGAUUGAUUGGGUUCAAAGGGUGCGUAGGCGGAUCGUUAAGUCAGUGGUCAAAUUGAGGGGCUCAACCCCUUCCCGCCAUUGAAACUGGCGCUCUUGAUUGGAAGAGACGUAUGCGGACUGCGUGUUGUAGCGGUGACAUGCA